Molecule: ribosomal RNA, 520 nt
Filed under: uncultured Geobacillus sp.
Lineage: Bacteria; Bacillati; Bacillota; Bacilli; Caryophanales; Anoxybacillaceae
Description: bacterial SSU rRNA
Rfam family: Bacterial small subunit ribosomal RNA
Source: RNAcentral
AGAGUUUGAUCCUGGCUCAGGACGACGCUGGCGGCGUGCCUAAUACAUGCAAGUCGAGCGGACCGGAUUGGGGCUUGCCUUGAUUCGGUCAGCGGCGGACGGGUGAGUAACACGUGGGCAACCUGCCCGCAAGACCGGGAUAACUCCGGGAAACCGGAGCUAAUACCGGAUAACACCGAAGACCGCAUGGUCUUCGGUUGAAAGGCGGCCUUUGGGCUGUCACUUGCGGAUGGGCCCGCGGCGCAUUAGCUAGUUGGUGAGGUAACGGCUCACCAAGGCGACGAUGCGUAGCCGGCCUGAGAGGGUGACCGGCCACACUGGGACUGAGACACGGCCCAGACUCCUACGGGAGGCAGCAGUAGGGAAUCUUUCGCAAUGGGCGAAAGCCUGACGGAGCGACGCCGCGUGAGCGAAGAAGGCCUUCGGGUCGUAAAGCUCUGUUGUGAGGGACGAAGGAGUGCCGUUCGAAGAGGGCGGCGCGGUGACGGUACCUCACGAGAAAGCCCCGGCUAACUACGUG